UACAGAGGGUGCGAGCGUUGUUCGGAAUUACUGGGCGUAAAGCGUGCGUAGGUGGUUCGUUAAGUCUGAUGUGAAAGCCCUGGGCUCAACCUGGGAAUGGCAUUGGAUACUGGCGAUCUAGAGUGCGGUAGAGGGCAGUGGAAUUCCCGGUGUAGCAGUGAAAUGCGUAGAGAUCGGGAGGAACAUCUGUGGCGAAGGCGACUGCCUGGACCAGCACUGACACUGAGGCACGAAAGCGUGGGGAGCAAACAGG
Molecule: ribosomal RNA, 253 nt
Filed under: uncultured bacterium
Lineage: Bacteria
Description: partial 16S ribosomal RNA
Rfam family: Bacterial small subunit ribosomal RNA
Source: RNAcentral